UAGCUCAGAGGCUAAAGCGUCUGCCUGGAAUGCAGGAGACCCGGGUUUGAUCCCGG
This 56-nucleotide transfer RNA is filed under the name Ovis aries (sheep). It matches the Rfam family "tRNA", at positions 8 to 63 of the family's 71-position model. Rfam says of the family: Transfer RNA (tRNA) molecules are approximately 80 nucleotides in length. Their secondary structure includes four short double-helical elements and three loops (D, anti-codon, and T loops). Lineage: Eukaryota; Metazoa; Chordata; Mammalia; Artiodactyla; Bovidae. The record is from Rfam by way of RNAcentral.